This 253-nucleotide ribosomal RNA is filed under the name uncultured bacterium. RNAcentral describes it as "partial 16S ribosomal RNA". It matches the Rfam family "Bacterial small subunit ribosomal RNA", at positions 524 to 776 of the family's 1533-position model. The record is from RNAcentral.
UACGUAGGGUGCGAGCGUUGUCCGGAAUUAUUGGGCGUAAAGGGCUCGUAGGCGGUUUGUCGCGUCGGGAGUGAAAACUCAGGGCUUAACCCUGAGCCUGCUUCCGAUACGGGCAGACUAGAGGUAUGCAGGGGAGAACGGAAUUCCUGGUGUAGCGGUGAAAUGCGCAGAUAUCAGGAGGAACACCGGUGGCGAAGGCGGUGGCCUGGACCGGUGCUGACGCUGAGGCGCGAAGGCGUGGGGAGCGAUCCGG